GUUUAACUCAGUCCCAUGAUUCCUUGCGGUGCCGUCGAUAACAACAGCCUCGAUUUGCAAACAACAUCGGAGCAGCGUAUCUUAGAUCCAUUAUCAACAUAUUCUCAUUUUUUUCAAGGUUUACACUCGAUGUGUUUGUUUUGGAUAAGGUUCUGUUGAUCAGAUUAUAAAUUCACCGAAUAUCGUUUUCAAGGCACCGUGCCCCUGGAUCUCCACAUUCCCACAUUUCUGAAUCACAUCCAUGGAUCAGGACUAUGAGCGCCGGUUACUGCGGCAGAUCAACGUCCAGAAUGACAACACCAGCCCCAUGAAAGUAAGAGAUGUGAUCUGUCACCUGACCCCCACCCCUGAGUCGCCGCUGUCAUCACCAAGCAAGCAUGGUGACAGAUUCAUA
This is a long non-coding RNA of Sinocyclocheilus anshuiensis, 394 nucleotides long. RefSeq lists it as uncharacterized. Lineage: Eukaryota; Metazoa; Chordata; Actinopteri; Cypriniformes; Cyprinidae. The transcript is spliced from 3 exons. The record is from RefSeq and is a predicted model, not a curated record.